AUUCAUCUGUCUUACCACAAUGCUUUAUUUUUCCACGCUGAUUCUCCUACAAAAGUCAGUCAACCAAAACAAGAUAAAUCACUUAGCUCCUUCCCUGCACACAAAGGAGUGAUUCUUGAAAUCUGAAGAAAUCCAUCCUGGAAGCACUAGUGCUUUACAUAUCAGUUACUCCUCGAAAAUGAACUUCUCAUUAUUUUGCCUGUUCAUGUUAGGCCUGGUAGUGCAAGGAGUAGAAUUUAAUAAAUGCCUGGAAGAAAGGUGUGGCCGAGGCCUAGUCAUUCGAUUCCCAUUCCUGCUAAUAGAAAAACAGCCAGAGGAGUGUGGCUAUCAUCAUGGGUUUGAUUUAUCUUGCAAAGAGGGGAAACAUGCAGAGCUGCAACUGCCAAAUUCUGUGAAACUCUACGUCCAAAGAAUUGAUUAUGUAAACCAGGUGUUAUUUGCAUCUGACCCAGAUGGCUGUCUGCCAAGGAAGGCUGGAGACCUCAAUCUUUAUAAUUCUAAUUUCCAAUUUGCUGCAGAGACAAAUGAUUAUGCCUUGUUCAGUUGUCCAGUGUCAAAGAGAGAUUUAGGAGAACCAUUGACUUGCCUCGGAGGUCCUGCCGGCAAUAAAGUUUAUGCCUUCAAAUCUUAUGAUACAAUUGAUGAGUUGCCUCUGACAUCUUGCACCAAGAUGUAUAAUGUUUCAUCGGUUCCAAAUGAAAUGUUCGAUAACAGGAAUAUUAUUCAUUUGAAUUGGUCCGUACCAACGUGUAAAUUCUGUGAAAAGCAAGGUAAACAUUGUGGCUGGAAGAAUAGUAACCUUGCAUGUUUCGACUUGCCCAAAACAUCAGGUAUGGUUUUAGCUUAGCAAUCUUGGAAAGAUCUCUACUCACACGAGCUAAACAAAAGAAUUCUAGUAUUUACUUGGGGUUUUCAUAGGAUUUGUGCUUUACUUAAUAUUUUGCAAUUGAAACUCUUUAUCUAAUGCUUUACUUUAUGUAGUCUUAAGAAAUUCUGUCGUUCAUUUAUUAAUCAACUGGAAAAUAAAAGAGAGCUUAAGUAUUAGAAUAACCCAAAAAGUUUGGUAUAUCUGUAAACUUCGUAACGAAGAUCUGCAUCAGUUCUAGUUGUUGCAUUUAGCAUUAAGGCGAACCGUAGUCAUGCUAAUGAUAUUAUUUACAUUCAUGUUUUGCAGGUAUCUUGACCAGGGUACGGAUUGCAGGUGAGUUUCCAAUCCAAAGUGAAAAUAAUCCAUAUUGAUUUUCUAGAAGAUGAAGGGGGCUCAUACCUUUAUGUUUUAUAUGCAGGUAUAGUCCUAGGUUCGUUUAUGCUGCUACUAUUGUCCGCAGCACUCUGUCAUAUUUACAAUACUAAUAGAAAAGAAAAGGAAAACCAAGCCAGGAUAGAGAAAUUUUUGGAAGAUUACAAAGCUCUCAAGCCCACA
RNAcentral lists this unclassified non-coding RNA (1423 nucleotides) under Hevea brasiliensis (rubber tree). The record is from RNAcentral. Lineage: Eukaryota; Viridiplantae; Streptophyta; Magnoliopsida; Malpighiales; Euphorbiaceae.